CCUACGGGAGGCAGCAGUGAGGAAUAUUGGACAAUGGGCGCAAGCCUGAUCCAGCCAUGCCGCGUGCAGGAAGACGGUCCUAUGGAUUGUAAACUGCUUUUAUACAGGAAGAAACACCUCUACGUGUAGAGACUUGACGGUACUGUAUGAAUAAGCAUCGGCUAACUCCGUGCCAGCAGCCGCGGUAAUACGGAGGAUGCAAGCGUUAUCCGGAAUCAUUGGGUUUAAAGGGUCCGUAGGCGGUUUAAUAAGUCAGUGGUGAAAGCCCAUCGCUCAACGAUGGAACGGCCAUUGAUACUGUUAAACUUGAAUUAUUAGGAAGUAACUAGAAUAUGUAGUGUAGCGGUGAAAUGCUUAGAGAUUACAUGGAAUACCAAUUGCGAAGGCAGGUUACUACUAAUAUAUUGACGCUGAUGGACGAAAGCGUGGGGAGCGAACAGGAUUAGAUACCCUGGUAGUCCACGCCGUAAACGAUGGAUACUAGCUGUUCGGAGCAAUCUGAGUGGNGUAGAGAAGAGAUAAGUAUACCACCGUCGGGAGGUACGUUCGUCGAGAAGAGAAAGUUAAAGUUAAGUAAGUUAGUACGGACGUGAGACGUACGACGACGGACGACGACGAGGGGAGGAGGG
RNAcentral lists this ribosomal RNA (629 nucleotides) under uncultured bacterium. RNAcentral describes it as "bacterial SSU rRNA". The stretch from base 1 to 532 matches the Rfam family "Bacterial small subunit ribosomal RNA", at positions 338 to 873 of the family's 1533-position model. The record is from RNAcentral.